Molecule: ribosomal RNA, 776 nt
Filed under: uncultured Neocallimastigales
Lineage: Eukaryota; Fungi; Neocallimastigomycota; Neocallimastigomycetes; Neocallimastigales
Description: partial large subunit ribosomal RNA
Rfam family: Eukaryotic large subunit ribosomal RNA
Source: RNAcentral
CGUCUAUAUACGUAUAGCAUAUCAAUAAGCGGAGGAAAAGAAACUAACAAGGAUUCCCUUAGUAACGGCGAGUGAAGCGGGAAGAGCUCAAAUUUGAAAUCUUCAAGGUUCUACCUUGACGAAUUGUAGUUUAAAGAAGUGUUUUCUGUUAGAGAGUUGGCUAAAAGUUCUUUGGAAUAGGACAUCAUAGAGGGUGAGAAUCCCGUAUUUGAUCCAUUCUUUCUAGCUGUGUGAUACACUUUCAAAGAGUCGGAUUGUUUGGGAAUGCAGUCCAAAAUGGGUGGUAAAUUUCAUCUAAAGCUAAUAUUGGCGAGAGACCGAUAGCGAACAAGUACCGUGAGGAAAGAUGAAAAGAACUUUGAAAAGAGAGUUAAACAGUACGUGAAAUUGUCAAAAGGGAAGCGUUUGACACCAGUGUUGUUUUUCCGAAAAUCAAUUAAGAGCGGCUUGAUUUUGUGUUGUAUUGACCUUAUCAGCUUUCUUCACUCUUUUUCGAGUCUUUCUUAAUGCACUUUUCGGUUAACAAGUCAACAUCAAUUUCUUUUGUUGUAAAAGGGUAUUUGGAAGGUGGCUUUCUUUUCGGAGAAAGUGUUUAUAGCCUUAUACCUCUACAAUCGGAGAGAUUGAGGUCUGCAGCGUAGAUCCUUCGGGGCUAGAUACACUUGUGCUAAGUUAUAGCUAUUUCAUAGACAACUUGUUGACUAUGUUUAGUCAUGUAGCUUACCCGCUUGUGCUAUUUUACCUACGCUUAGGAUGUUGAGUCAUCACACAUCUCU